This 467-nucleotide ribosomal RNA is filed under the name uncultured bacterium. Its description in RNAcentral is "partial 16S ribosomal RNA". It matches the Rfam family "Bacterial small subunit ribosomal RNA", at positions 28 to 507 of the family's 1533-position model. The record is from RNAcentral.
GACGAACGCUGGCGGCGUGCUUAACACAUGCAAGUCGAACGGAAAGGCCCUGCUUUUGUGGGGUGCUCGAGUGGCGAACGGGUGAGUAACACGUGAGUAACCUGCCCUUGACUUUGGGAUAACUUCAGGAAACUGGGGCUAAUACCGGAUAGGAGCUCCUGCUGCAUGGUGGGGGUUGGAAAGUUUCGGCGGUUGGGGAUGGACUCGCGGCUUAUCAGCUUGUUGGUGGGGUAGUGGCUUACCAAGGCCUUGACGGGUAGCCGGCCUGAGAGGGUGACCGGCCACAUUGGGACUGGGAUACGGCCCAGACUCCUACGGGAGGCAGCAGUGGGGAAUAUUGCACAAUGGGCGGAAGCCUGAUGCAGCAACGCCGCGUGCGGGAUGACGGCCUUCGGGUUGAAACCGCUUUCGCCUGUGACGAAGCGUGAGUGACGGUAAUGGGUAAAGAAGCACCGGCUAACUACGUG